This 482-nucleotide ribosomal RNA is filed under the name uncultured bacterium. RNAcentral's name for it is "partial 16S ribosomal RNA". It matches the Rfam family "Bacterial small subunit ribosomal RNA", at positions 30 to 507 of the family's 1533-position model. The record is from RNAcentral.
AUUGAACGCUGGCGGCAUGCUUUACACAUGCAAGUCGAACGGUAACAGGCCGCAAGGUGCUGACGAGUGGCGAACGGGUGAGUAAUGCAUCGGAACGUGCCCAGUCGUGGGGGAUAACUACUCGAAAGAGUAGCUAAUACCGCAUACGAUCUAUGGAUGAAAGCGGGGGACCGUAAGGCCUCGCGCGAUUGGAGCGGCCGAUGUCAGAUUAGGUAGUUGGUGGGGUAAAGGCUCACCAAGCCAACGAUCUGUAGCUGGUCUGAGAGGACGACCAGCCACACUGGGACUGAGACACGGCCCAGACUCCUACGGGAGACAGCAGUGGGGAAUUUUGGACAAUGGGCGCAAGCCUGAUCCAGCAAUGUCGCGUGCAGGAAGAAGGCCUUCGGGUUGUAAACUGCUUUUGUACGGAACGAAACGGCUCUGGUUAAUACCCGGGGCUAAUGACGGUACCGUAAGAAUAAGCACCGGCUAACUACGUG